This 69-nucleotide transfer RNA is filed under the name Marmota monax (woodchuck). It matches the Rfam family "tRNA". From Rfam's summary of the family: Transfer RNA (tRNA) molecules are approximately 80 nucleotides in length. Their secondary structure includes four short double-helical elements and three loops (D, anti-codon, and T loops). The record is from Rfam by way of RNAcentral. Lineage: Eukaryota; Metazoa; Chordata; Mammalia; Rodentia; Sciuridae.
GGAAUUGUGGCUCAGCGGUACAGCACUUGCCUUGUAUGUGUGAGGCACUGGGUUCGAUUUCCAGCACCA